AUACGAGGGGGGCUAGCGUUGUUCGGAAUUACUGGGCGUAAAGCGCGCGUAGGCGGAUUGGUCAGUUAGGGGUGAAAUCCCAGGGCUUAACCCUGGAACUGCCUCUAAUACUGCCAGUCUUGAGUUCGGGAGAGGUGAGUGGAAUUCCUAGUGUAGAGGUGAAAUUCGUAGAUAUUAGGAAGAACACCAGUGGCGAAGGCGGCUCACUGGCCCGAUACUGACGCUGAGGCGCGAAAGCGUGGGGAGCAAACAGGAUUAGAAACCCUAGUAGUCC
RNAcentral lists this ribosomal RNA (274 nucleotides) under uncultured bacterium. RNAcentral describes it as "partial 16S ribosomal RNA". It matches the Rfam family "Bacterial small subunit ribosomal RNA", at positions 523 to 796 of the family's 1533-position model. The record is from RNAcentral.